GCCUUUAGGGUCUUUCAGGAGAAGCAAACGAAUGCUGUAGCCCUGGGUGGGCCGCAGAAGUAGAUUGUAAAAGAUGAAAAUAUAAAUUUUAAUAAUUGAGAUUUUUAUAACCCAAGAAAAAAAUUUCUCAUGAAGAUUAGCCACUUCAAAAGCUUUAUCACAGAGGUUUGCCGCCACAGAGAGUUCAGCCUAAAUGUAAAGGCAGAUUACCCGAGUAUGACUGACUGCUCAGCCAGCUACUCAAGUUAGCAACCUGCAGGUUUCCUAAGAACUUUCAGUACCUCACAGAACAUGGGUCUGGGAAUUCUUUGUUUAGCUCUGCACCCCAUUUUCUAAUAGGGUUAUUUGGUUCUCUGGAGUCGAGUCUAACUUCUUAAGUUCUUUGUAUAUACUUGAUAUUAGCCCUCUAUCAGAUUUAGGAUUGGUAAAGAUCUUUUCCCAAUCUAUUGCUUGCCUUUUUGUCUUAUUGAAGUUGUCCUUUGCCUUACAGAAGCUUUGCAAUUUUAUGAGGUCGCAUUUGUCAAUUCUUGAUCUUACAGUGCAAGCCAUUGGUGUUCUGUUCAGGAAUUUUUCCCCUGUGCCCCUAUGUUCAAAGCUCUUCCAUACUUUCUUCUCUUCAAGUUUCAGUGUCUCUGGCUUUAUGUGGAGGUCCUUGAUCCCCUUGGAUUUAGUCCUUCUUAGAAGGGGGAAUCAAAAUGCCCAUGGAUGGAGUUACAGAGAAAAGUAUGAAGCAGAGAGUGAAGGAAUGAAGUCUCUGGAUAGAGACUGACCCAACUGAAGAUCCAUCCCAUAAACAACUACCAAAACCAGACACUAUUGUGGAUGCCAACAAGUGCUUGCUGAGAGGAGCCUGAUAUAGCUGUCUCCUGAGAGGGUUUGCUAGUGCCUGACAAAUACAGAAGUGGAUGCUCACAGCCAACCAUUGAAACAGAGCAUUAUGUAGUCAUCACUGUGGUGGGUGAACUCAACUCCCUCAGUGUUUACCAUCACAAGCAGGAAUGACUGCAGAUCCUAACAUCAUCCUGUGCAAUGACCUCAGUGGUGACAGGGAAGUGGGGACUAGAAGUAUGAACACGACCUGAAUGUGCGUUAUUUAUUUUUCUUCUGUGGCUGUUAAGACAGGGAGCCCCUCAGAAAUUGUCUUCCUGGGCCGUCAUCUACAUUCUGCCCCCAUUCCCUCCUGAUCUGGUUUCCUGAAUUUGAACUUUCCUACUUGAUUUCCCUGGACUAAGAUGCUCUUUCUCAUAGCCACCGGCUGUCUGGCCCUGCACUGCCCUCUAAGUACCACUCCAAGUAUCCUAUGCCUAGUAAUGCCUGGCAAACACCUAAGAUGAGACAUCAGAAGCAUGAACCACUACCCCCCCCCACACACACACACACACACUCUAAUAUUUUUGUUCUUUCUUCUUCUUUUGAGCAAUCAUCACUAAUCACACACUCUAUCUAUCUGUCUGUCUAUCUAUCUGUCUGUCUGUCUGUCUGUCUGUCUGUCUGUCUGUCUGUGUAUCUAUCUUUUUGUCUCCCACCCAAUCCAAGCACAGGAUUGUCUUUGCUUCUCUGUUUUCCUCCCAACUAGAGCACAGACUUGCCUUCACUUCUUCGUUUCCAGAGCCUAGAACUAAGUCUGGCACAUAAUAGGUAUCAUUUCAAUUAAAUGAGAAACACUUCUGGGGGUUGGGUACCAUGUAAAUGUGGAGGCAAUUUAAGACCAGGUAAAAGCUCUCUCUAACAUAAAAUGUUAGACUAUAUAUUUUAAAAGACCCAUGCUAUCCCCAAAAUAAAACCUUCAGUAUGAUGCUAAGCGUGUACUGAAUGUCUUUUAUUAAGAUUUCAGAAGGAAUGAAUGAUAUCAUCUUCAUAAAACACCGUGGGCUGGACGUGUAAGGAAAAGUGAGACAAAGCAUGAGGAAGAAUGAAGCAGGAAGUUGGAACUUCUUAUAUUCACUUGACAUACAUGUGUGCACACACACACACAUACACAUGCACACACUAUUUUUUAAAUCCUGAAUGGAAAUCACUCUAGAAAAGCAGAAUAAGGGAAGUGGGGUAGUAGAUGUGACUUCCCAGCCAAGGUGCCCCUCAUGAUGCAGGGUCAAGGUUAUCUCUGUACCGCGAUCACAUCCUGUCUGAAAGGGCUGACCCCUCUUAAGGAGACCUCCACAGCAAAGCCAGCCACUUAUCAUUGGCCUGGUAAUUGAGUGCUAAGUCCUAUUGAAUGGAAACAGAAGUGUUUCGGGAGAAAUUUCUCUAAGUCAAACUUCUUAACCUUCGGCACAGAGGCAGCUCUGCAGAUAAAGUGAGUUUCACGCGGUUUCUGAUCCUUCCCAGUGUCCACCUCCCAAGAGGUAGAUUUUUCCCUCAUGAUCUCUCUCCCUCUCUGUGUUCUUCCUGCUCCUGUUCAGAUCUCAUUUUUUUCUUUCCUUUCUUUCUUCCCCCACCCCUAUCCAGUCAGCAGGGAGGACUUCCCAUCUCUUACUGCCCUGCCUAUCCCAGGACAAGGUGUUGUUGUCUGUUACUGAAUUUUUGGUCAGGAUUCCAGAGACAAAAUCAAUGACAGAACUUUGAAGAGAUUUUAGCACUGUUCCAUGUGGCUUUGGGACUCUGUUGCCGAUUAAGGGGAAGAGAGGGCUGAAUUGAAGAACAUCUCUGAAGGAGUAUUUUUCCCACCUCUGCAGCAACCACCAGGAUGCAUUUCCUCCUGAUUUAUCACUUUGGACCCUGAAGCUGGAUUCUAUUCAUUGGCUAAUUUAGUGUGGUCUCCCCCACCAAGCCAUGGUUAUACAAGAUUCUCAAAGUUUUAGAAUAUGCAUGAAGUGUCAGAAGGAGGCCCAGCAUCCUAAAUGCUUUUUUUUUUCCUUCCUUAAUCUAGUCACCCAUUAAAAUAAUCACUUACCCUGACAGUGUCAGUAAAUUUUAAUGAAUUAUUCAGGAAUUUGCAUUUGUUUCCAGGUAAGCCAAUCUUAAUUUCACCAAGGGUAUGAAGUCUCCAACUCUGCCCACAGUGCCAUAUAAUAGUUCUCAUAACCAAAAGCAAUAUAUAAAGUUCCAUUCCCUGUAGUUCAACAAGAUGUUAUAUCCUCAAAUUCUGCAACUAGUCCGGGUCUUCUUCCAAGACAGGAGGCAAUGUUGUCUUGAGACAUGAAUUAAUGCUUAGGAUAAGUUAUCCAACCUUCAAUUCUAGUAUAAUCUUUAGCUUUCAAAUACGUUUAAGAAGUAUGGGGAGAGGAAGUCUCAACUUCUACACAAUGAAAGACAAAAGUAUGGAGACAUUCAAAGGGACAGCCCUGAAGGUCACUACAGAGACCUGAUGGUAUUUCUUUGUCACAGAAUUUACUUCCUGCUCUCAAGUCCCAUGAACGUCCCCAGCCAGCUCUAACAAGAAGCCUUGCUGGGGCUUCCCAGCUCCUAAAAAGGAUUGAAAACCAAGAAAUGAGGUUGAGGACAUAUCCAUUUUCUUCUUCCAAUAGCAAGGCUUGACUAUCCACUGUGUCAGUGUUCAUAACUGCUACAAGUAAGGCACACUAAACUGUCAAAUGUGCAGUCCAAAUGAUAAAGGUACAAUACUGAUACCUGAACAGGGACACUAGCAGGUGGAACUAUUAUCCUCUACCUGGAAGGGUUGGGAAGGUUUCCAUCUGACCUGACAUCUCCUAGGUAUUGAAGGAUGAGUAAGUUUCGUCCCAGAAAAGACAAUGAGAAUGGGUUUUGGUAUUGAAACCCAAA
Molecule: long non-coding RNA, 3723 nt
Filed under: Mus musculus (house mouse)
Lineage: Eukaryota; Metazoa; Chordata; Mammalia; Rodentia; Muridae
Description: long non-coding RNA chr14:117504119-117507842
Source: RNAcentral